Molecule: long non-coding RNA, 4893 nt
Filed under: Olea europaea subsp. europaea
Lineage: Eukaryota; Viridiplantae; Streptophyta; Magnoliopsida; Lamiales; Oleaceae
Source: RNAcentral
AUAAUGAAAGGGUUUAAAUCUAGCAUUUCUAUCCAUUUACCGGUUCUUUGUCUAAAAGUUCCCUCUUCAUCUUCGUCUUCUGUUGUCGCUCCACCUAUUCCUCUAUCUGCCCAAAUAGUCGUCGUUGGGGUUAAUCACUAGUUUUUGGUCGUGUGUUGCCUGCAACCCUUUCCAUUUCUCUGCAAUUGGCUUUUUAUCCAGUUAGAAUUUCACUCGAUUGGAUUAUUCUUUAUUUUUUUCUUGAUUCACUUCGAUCUAUUUCAUCUAUUGUUUAUAACUCUUAACAUUUUUUUGGAAUUAAAAAGAAUGGUCUCUUUUUGUACAAGAACUAUUUCUAUUUUUAGCAUCUUGACAUCCCUAGAUUUUGAUAUCUCAGUUGUUUAUCAAUCGCAGGGAGCUUGUGCCUUGUAGGAGUAGAGAAGUUCCGCAAGCUGGUUGCCUCUUCCGACAUGCCUGCUCUCCCUGGUACUUCAUUUCCUUUGUGCGUGUCAUAUGGAAAUGUUUGACAUUUGUGGAACUAUUAUUUGGAUUUUCAUUUUGUGUUAGAGGAAAUAUCUAAUGGGCCAUCGAUUUUAGUGUUGAAAUUUGAAGUUUUUGGAUACUGGAAAUGUCUGAUUUUGGCUGGGUUAGUGAUGUUGGAUAUACAUUCUUUUUGUUUAUUUUGGUAAAUGGAAUUACAGUUCAGUUGAAAUGUGAAGUUUAAAAUAAGACAAUGAAUUCGAGUUUAAGACGUUUAUUAAUUUGGUACUUACAAAUACAGAAAGUUUUGAAAUAGUUGGGAGUAAUUGAUUUGGAUUUUAAUUUUUGUUCGUUUAGAUUUCAGUGUCUAUUUGUCCAGUAGAAUUCAAAGCUCUAUUAUUUAAGUCAGACUUAGCUUUACUACAGUGAUUGUGUUACUAGGAAUAUGUGAAGCUUUAUUUAGGAUUCAAAAUUGUACUCUGAUUUUCCAAACGUGGUGACAGAUUGAUGGGGUUUAGCUAUUGAGGAACUUCUCUAUUUAUAUACUUCUAUAAGAAAAAUCCUUCUUUAGAACUAAAUGAUUGCUAACAAUGCUAGUAAUAUUUUUUGUACAUGUAACACCACACGCUUCAUUCUCGUAAUUAUUAUGUCCGAAUAGAUUAUGUAUUUGUAAUGCCGCAUAAUUUACAUGAUAGAUGUUUAUGCUUCCUUAAUGUUUAUUUAAUGUGUACUUAAUAAGUUUAUUGUUAUUGUGAUUAAUUUUUUCUUGCAAUGGAAUGAACAUUGCAUGCUCUAAAAGAUUAACAUGCCAAUUAAUUUAAUUAUGGUGGGUCUAUAAUUGAAUAAUAUAAUAUAUUUAAUUUGAGAUUUGCUUGGUGUACAUAAUUUUUCAUACAUCAAGGUGUCCCACACUCACAUGGGGUGGAACCCGCUUGAAUAUCUUUUUCGAGUAGACACCAUUCCAUGUGAGUGUAUGGAUACCUUAAUAUACAAAAAAUUAUGUACAACUAGUGUUAUCCAUUUAAUUUACUAUGUGUUCACGAAUAAUUUAACUCCGGGUUGAACUUAGAUAAUGAGUUAGAAUAUUAUGCAUUGACUUAAUAAGCGAAGAUUUUUCUAUAAUUUAAUAUGGAAAUAAUAUGUAAACGUCAUAAUGGGAUCUUAGUUUGUACAACCUAUUUAAAAGAUUAAAUAAGUCAAUAGGAUUAAUAUGAGAUCUCAUUAUAUAUAUAUAUAGUUUUGUGUGUAUUUAUAUAUCUAUUCAUUGCUCACAUUCAUUAUUUGUAUAUUGUUUAUGAAAUGUUCUUUGUCGUUUUGUGAAAUUUUUAAGUUUUAUGUUUGUGAAAUAUUUGAGUUUGUUGUUUAGAUAAGGAGCCCAUCUUUUGUUACAAGUGACUAAGUGUUCCAUAUUCAAUAGGUAUACGUUCAUGUAUAUCUGCACAUAAAUACAUAUAAUCUCUGUAUUUAAAUACAUUAUACUGAUUUCUUUGGAUUUUCUUACAUGGUGCUAGUUCUACUUUUAGAUUAUUUAUUCAAUUGAAGGGGACUCCGUCACGUUAAGAAAAGUAUGAUUUCAUUUUAUUCUCCCUUUUUAUUUCAUUGUUUCCCGGAUCCAUUUUAUGGUUUUUGAUUUGAAUAUCAACGUGUGUUCUUUGUUUUUUUGCUUUCGUGAGCAUUCAUGAUGAUGUAUUAUGUCUUUCUGAUUUCAUAUACUUAUUAGGUUAUUCUAUUUACUUAAUAGAUUCUUAUAUUAUUUGUCAUGUUUGUUUCUUGUUAUUCAUAGAUAAGUUCCUCACACCGAUACAAAUUCCGAAGGAAGAGCACGUUCUGACCCAUAUUUUACAGGUUAGCAACACCAAAUAUGUAUUAGUUGUCCUCGACAAAUUCGAUGCACAACAGAAGACUAUGUUCGAGGAAAGUUGUUUAGGACAUGUCGUGAAGUUGCUCAAGCUCAAAUUAUCUGCAUAAUUAGUUCAUGAAAUGGUUAAUAGAUGAGUGAUUUGCUGAAAACGUUUUGAGGCUUGGUUCAAGGUCAAUCAAUGGUUUACAAGAUUUGGAAUGUCGGAGUUCUCACUGAUCACGGGCUUAAAUUGUGGAGAAUUGCCUAAAAGGUUGGCUUUCGACAACAUUCUAGAGAAAACUAGGCUACGAGACAAAAUGUUUAUUUAUGGAGAUUGGAUAACUUUUAGCGAUUUGUAGAAGGUUUUCUUGAAAUGUGCUAACCGUAACGAUCGUUACAAACUUGGUUUGGUAUAUAAUUAUUGAAGGGGUUUUAAUUCGAGAUACCUAAAUGUGGGGAUUCAUCCUAAACUCUCGUCAUUAUGGACGACUUAGAUUUCUUCAUUGCUUACCCAUGGAGGACAGUAUGUUUUAAACUUCUUAUCAAAUUAGUGCUCCGUGGAUGAAGGAGAAAUGUGGACUUGGCAAAGGUCAACGAUUAUGACAGGAUGUCUUACACGUACGGAUUCCUUCUUGCUAUUCAGUAUGUCUGUUUAUUUCAUUCAUAUUCAUUGUACAUUGUUAUUUAUGUCCGUAUGUGGUAAUCACUGUUAUACAUGUGCUGCAAUUGUGGGUGUACGAGGCAAUCCCAAAGUUGGGAGCUCGAUUUGUGAGCAAGAUUAGUGACGACCUUUCGAGGAUGUUGCGGUGGUCACCACCAGAUAGCCUCAAUCGAGAACAUAUUUAAAUUUCUUCGACAAGACACACAUGAGCAUUUAUAUAUACAACUGCCCUUACACUAGUAGCAUAUAUCACAAUUUUAUUUGACAAGACACUUUUCCUCCCUUUGUGGUUGCACUUGUGGACACUAUCUCUGAAGAAGAAUAGCAGCCAUACUUUGCUACUUUACUUCCAUUAGAUGAUGUUACUGACCAAUUUUUGACAAUCUCGUCAUUCAAUCAACUGAAAUACAAGAUUACCUGUCAAAAGGCAAAGUGAUACGCAAUGACGAGAAAAACAACCGAUGCAACAGAUUCAGGAGAGGUAACACAAGUGGGAUUCGUCUUCGAGAUUUCAGUGACGAUAAAGGGGGAGAAAAAGAGCAUUGUGAUCCAGUCCAGGACUUUCCAUCCAUUUUUGGCUUGGAAAAUCAUCUAAUAGCAAGCCAUGUGUAUACGGAUGAGAUAAAAGGCAUGUUGAUUUAACAUAGAGAGUUCAUUGGGAUUACGCUGUGUAAAUUGAGGGACAAAAUGAACGCAAGGUUCAAUGGUCUUGAAAAGAAAAUGGGGGAUCAUGUGCACAAGAUGAAUGAGCAUUGACUGAUUAGAUAAGUGUGAUCAAAUGAAAGUUUGAGGAUGUAGUUACAGAAAUUGGGAGAGAAAAUGUGCGUGAUGAGUAUGGUGCAUUUGGUUAUGGUGAUGGUGAUGGAGAUAUGCACAAACGUGAUUACUAUGAUGAUUUCUCGUUGCCCAACACUACAAUUGACGAACAACAUGUCGAGGCAACAAGAGUACAUGCUAGCAAUGUUAAGGCAACCAAACUAGAUGUUGGCUACGUCAAGGCAACCGAAGCAAAUGCUGUAAGCAUCGAGGCAACCAAACUAGAUGCUCGCAACGUCGAUGAGUUGUCCAAAAAGUGCUUAGAUAUGGUUGCCACCAAUGCUAUACUGCCAUCUUGAGCUUGAUCCCUCAGGGUAAAGCUGUCAAAUGCUAGCACUCAGACUCCUUUUAUACGGUUCGAUUGUAGAAAGGGUAAGAGAGGUGUGUAGUUAGUUUACAAUGUUGGUGGAGUAUGGCAUUGUAUGUUUUGGAAAAUAUUUAUAACCUCAUUUUGUGUGCCAUCAUUAGGCAAAUUUUUUGGUUGAUGGUACAAUUCUCAUUGUUGAUGUAGAAUUGAAAUGGGUACAAGAGUAUUUUAUUUCAGUAAGUACAUGUUGUUUAGGACUUAUAUUGUGCACACAUUUGAAAUGUCAGUUUACGAGAAUAACAUGUAUUUUAUGUCGAGAACAACACUUUAAAUGUCGAGACAUGUCUGGAAUGUAUAAAACUCUAGGAAAUAGAAUGAAAUCUUGUUAGAUACAUGAACUAUUAAAUGUUGAGAUAAAUUGGGUCCAAAUGUCGAUAACGACUUUUCAAAUGAAGAAAACUUGAUGAAAUGUUAAGAAAUAUAUGAACUGUCGAGUGUCAAGAUAAACAAGGUCAAAUUGUUGAUAAUAACAUUCCAAAUGACGAAAACAUGGUGAAAUGUUAAGAACAAAUUUGAACUGUUCGGUGGACUGGCAAGAUGACAACGAGAUUUCCCAAUAUGAUUUUAACAAAAUGUGUGUUAUAAAUUCAUGCUGGUAAUAGAUACAAUUUCACUAUUUACACAACAAGCACAAAAUCUACAACCUAUAUCGUUAAAAUCAAUUGUAAAUACAUGGAAUAGGAGUUGGUGUGUACUCUUCUAAUGUAAGUACACCUCAUUAACCAUGCUUUACACCUCUACAUAAGCAUG